RNAcentral lists this unclassified non-coding RNA (3857 nucleotides) under Hevea brasiliensis (rubber tree). Lineage: Eukaryota; Viridiplantae; Streptophyta; Magnoliopsida; Malpighiales; Euphorbiaceae. The record is from RNAcentral.
AAAAAAAAAAAAAAAAACUAUUUUAAGAUGUGACAACUAAUUAUCCUAGUGUUUUGGACAUAAAUUGCUAUCACCUCUUUUGACAUUUUCACAAUUAGCUGACAACAAAAAGGAGGUAUCAAGCAAAUUUGCAUCAAGAUCACAUUUGCAACUGGCUACCAUGCAUAUCAUAUUCUUUUAUUAUUCAUCUAUAUAACCUAUCAGGACCUGUAGCUUACACAUCAGUAUGCAAAUUAUUUAAGACAAGUCCAUAGUAUGUCUCCCACACCUUAAUGGCUCACUCAAAUGAACUUUCAUCACCGAAAAAAGUGUGAAUAUGAGCUAAGGAAUAUGGCCCUCUCAAUAACCACACGUGGGUAAAGAUGCAGAAGAGUCCAUUUUCUUCAAAAAGGAAAAGAAAUAUUCAAAUUUCUUGUGAGUUGUGACAAAAUCCAUUCUCAUAUCUGCAAUUCAUAUCCUUAUAUACAUAUCUUCAUCUCAUAUCAAACUUAGAACUUGGGGACAUAUGGUAAUACAAUUUAUUUCUAAAGUAUUUGCACUCACACAAGUUAUUGUGGUGACUAAGAGCUACUUAGGCACAGCAAAACAAACUUAAGCAUCAAAUUAUUCUAAAGUUGUGCCCCAAAUUCAGCAUAGGGUCACCUAGGAGUUUUGAAGCCUAGCUAAAUUAGCAUUAAGUCUUUUACCUUCAGAUGUUUAUUUAUAUCAAAAACUAGAUGGCUCAUCUUACACAUUUUCUUUGAUUUUAUGUCCAUAUUCUUCUUGGUAAUUUUUUGCUUUUUAGGUAUUAUUGGCUGAUUAGACAUGAAGUAGCCUCCAAUCAAUUAGUAUCAGAAUCCUUGCAGAUUUCCCGAAAAACACCGUUCAGGGAAACUAUUUAUGGUGCAGAUCUGCAACUAAAAAAUAAAUCUAAAUCUGAUUUCCUUCAUCUUCUCUUUGGCCAGUUACACGCUUGACAAUCACUAGAACCUAACACAGGUCAUCCUUACUUUGAGCCCUUGAAGCUCUUAAUACCAUUAAUUAUUAAAGAACCUGUUCAGCUGUCGCUGCAUCACUUUGGGACCCCUCCUAGGCGUCUAACAACUAGGUUGUUCAUAAGGAUGUUACUGACAUUGUUUCUGCAGUUCAAAAAAUUAAAAAAAAAAAAUUUGUUUUACAUGCAAGCAUCAGGAAUUCAUAUGAAGGGCUCAAAAACUUAAAAUUGUUUGGUGUUUAGGCAGAAUCAUAUCCGUUAUAGUUAAAUUUGUUCCGCAAAGCACCAAAUUGAAUAGUUCAGGGGCUUUUAAUACGUUUUGAUCCUUAAGGAGAAACCCUAAAGGUUAAAAUUUGGGAUUCCAAAGAGGUCUCAUGUUAAAACAAUCUGAAUAAUGAGAAAAAGAUGAUUAGCUCUCAUAUACCCCAAGCACUGGAUUAAAAAUAAAUUAGCUUAAGCACAUAUGUGGACUUGCUUUUUUCUUUUUCAGUGUGCUGAGUGAAUCCAACGAGAAAGGAGACUGAUAAUGUUCUGAAUUCUGAUGAAAUUCAUUUGUUCCUCUGAAUAUGAAUGAUUUAAAUAGUAUAAAAGCAAAAAUUCCAAUUUUAUGUGUGAUGCACACUCUGAUUGAUUUCAAUGCACCAUUGCCUAUCUCCCCCUCAAAGGCAAAGAUGUCAAAGGCAUUAAACAAAGCAAGAACGAAAAAUUCAUGUAAGUACUGUUUCAAAAUUGUGACCUGCAAAGAAUGGUUACAAGCAGUUACAGUAAUUUUUAUGCAAACGACCAUGCAAGACAAAAACAGCACCAAAACAACAAAUCUCCAACAGUCUUAAACUUACACGCUCAAUUGCCUCGCGCUCCUCAGGAGUAACAGUCACAGCCUGAGGCAUUGCUGAAGCCAACUGACUAAGUGGGUUCCCUUCUCCUUCAACAGGUUCAUUUAUCAAGCGCAAGAAGUCAGCCUGAUGCUCUUGAAUGAGCCGCAUAAGAUGUGGGUUUUGUUUCCCAAGCUCCUGAAUCAUAGGCUGCAAUGCAUGACAACAGUAUUCAUCAUCCAAUAGGUUAGUCAGUACGAAACUCAACAGCUGCCACCAGAAGCAACAAGCAAAUGAAUCAAAUGAUAAGAAACACCUGCAGGAUUUGAGGAUUUGCUUGCACCAUAGCCCGCAAUGCUUGGAACUGCUGACUGUUGCGCAAAAAAUCCAAGGUGCCUGCACUGGCAUUGGAACCCAUACUAGGAAGGCCCUGAUUCCAUAAAAAUUAUAUUCAUCACUUAUCGUUACAAUACCAUAACGAGGAUCAAAGUUACAAAUGAAGAACAUGCCUGUGGAAAUAGAUCUAGAGGAUUUGCAUUUGGCCCACCACUGGUAGGUGCUGCAGGUUGUUCAGUAUGGGCUGGUGGAUUUGCAGCCUGCCCACUAGCAGGAACUCGGGCAACUGGUUGAACUUCAGCUUGCUCAGGAAUUCCAGAAUAAAGAUAUUCAACAGCCCUUUCAGGGUUGUUAUAUGCAGCACGUAGAGCAUGUACAACAGUUUUGCGAUCCCAACUGCCUCCGCCCAUGUCAAGUAUCUGUUGAAUGGUAGCCUCUAAAUUACUUCCUGCAACAAGGUUUGAUGCUGCGUGUCCAUAUAUGUCUGAUUCUGAACUGCUUAAACACCAUGAAAUGAGUAAAACAAAUAUAAAAGAAAAUUGAUUAAAUUCAAGUGAAAGAUGACUGCAGAAUUGGGUUCUGAAGAUCAAGGAUCUUGACCAAUGCAGACCCACAUAAGAAAAAUACUCCAGAUCCAUCAUACAACAGAUACUGACUGUCGCAAGUUCCAUUUGGGAUUGAGUAUGGACUCACAAUAGAACAGAAUAAAACUAGCACAAGAAAUACUCACGAAACAGGAUUAACUACAGAAGGUGUAGAUUCAGUGGAGGGUUGUAGUGGUGCUGCAGUUGGAGCAGGAGCUUGAGUAGUUGUUGCUGGUUGUGUUGCACUAGUAGGCAAAGAACUUGCAGGUUGGGCCUGCACAUGCAAGCAGUUGCAUUAAACUUCAGAUGGCAACUGAGUAGCAUGAUUUUGUGUUAUAUUGCCAACAGAGCAGGAAUGCAAGUGGCUAAGGGUGAUUUAUCCUUGCUUUUAAGGAAAUGGUAAAACAAUCAAUCAAGAAUUUAAUUAUGAUAAGGUAUCUCCCAAUCCAAAAUUAUCAAAAACUAGAAAUGUCAUGUUCAUGCCAAUUAUAUUCAAAUACAUACAAAUGAAAAAAGUUCUUGAUUGUGCAGCUAAUCUCUGGAAAACUACAAGGAAAAUGGGUAAGGACUAAGGAGGGGUGUUUUUGUAAUAUGGAAAAACCAAACCAUUAUUUACACAUGCAAAAAUCAUUGUAGAAAUCAUUAAAAGGAGAAGAGAGAAGGGGAAUGAGUAGCCAUCCCAGACAAAAUAAUAGCCAUUGUGUACCACAUUCCUGGACAAGCACUGUUCUGUAAUCUUUAAUUGGCUCAUGCUAUUGGUCUUGUACUCAAUAACUACUUAUCUAAAGACCGGACCAGGCUCAGGAAUAAUUGCACAAUAUUUCAAGAAAACACACAUCAUACUGUAACUGAUACCCAAGUAAAAAAUAACAAUAAAAAAAAAAUACAAACACACAUGCUGAAAGUCUGAUGUAUGAUCUGUAAAAGCAAUCACCAGUUAUUACUAAAUGAAUCCAGGCAUCGAUAGUAGAUCGUUAAAACAAAGUUCAGACAAGAGGCUUGCCAAGUAUAUCCUAAAUUUCAACAAAGGAUGUACUUUUGCACACUUGCUAUGAUGCUACCAACAUCAACGUCUGUGCAAAGUAGAUUUUUAGAUGGCCCAACUAGAUUGAUGAUUAAGGCAUAGUUGAAUUGAGUUUUUCAUACAUA